UGUGGCCUGUGGACUUCCCUUUGUCAUCCUAUGCCUGGAGUCAUGUCAAUGGGGCUGGGAAGGCAAAGGGAUGCCCAGAUGUCAUGGAAG
This is a microRNA precursor of Poecilia formosa (Amazon molly), 90 nucleotides long. Ensembl annotates it as microRNA 204. Lineage: Eukaryota; Metazoa; Chordata; Actinopteri; Cyprinodontiformes; Poeciliidae. The record is from Ensembl.